GUGAAAUACAAAGAAAUAGUUUCAAGCAGAAUUCAAAUUUACUUAACCAAUCAAAAAUCAAAACAGCAGAGAAACGCUAUAAAUGCAGUACAUGUGAAAAAGCCUUCAUUCACAAUUCAUCCCUUCGUAAACAUCAGAAAAACCACACUGGAGAAAAAUUAUUUAAAUGUAAAGAAUGUUUAAAAGCUUUCAGCCAAAGUUCUGCUCUUAUUCAACAUCAAAGAACUCAUACAGGAGAGAAACCCUAUAUAUGUAAAGAAUGUGGGAAAGCCUUCAGCCAUAGUGCAUCCCUUUGUAAGCAUUUAAGGACCCAUACUGUGGAGAAAUGCUAUAGAUGUAAAGAAUGUGGUAAAUCCUUCAGUCGAAGGUCUGGGCUUUUUAUACAUCAAAAAAUCCAUGCUCAAGAAAAUCCCCAUAAAUACAAUCCAGGCAGGAAGGCAUCCAGUUACAGCACUUCCCUUUCUGGAAGUCAGAAAAUUCAUCUCAGAAAGAAGUCCUACUUAUGUAAUGAAUGUGGCAACACCUUUAAGUCUAGCUCAUCCCUUCGUUAUCAUCAGAGAAUUCACACUGGAGAGAAGCCUUUUAAAUGUAGUGAAUGUGGGAGAGCCUUCAGCCAGAGUGCCUCUCUUAUUCAACAUGAAAGAAUUCACACCGGAGAAAAGCCCUAUAGAUGCAAUGAAUGUGGGAAAGGCUUUACUUCUAUUUCACGACUUAAUAGACACCGAAUAAUUCAUACUGGAGAGAAAUUGUAUAAUUGUAAUGAAUGUGGUAAAGCCUUAAGCUCCCACUCAACACUUAUUAUUCAUGAGCGAAUUCAUACUGGAGAAAAACCAUGUAAAUGUAAAGUAUGUGGAAAAGCCUUCAGACAGAGUUCCGCUCUCAUUCAACAUCAGAGAAUGCAUACUGGAGAAAGACCCUAUAAGUGUAACGAAUGUGACAAAACAUUCAGGUGUAACUCAUCGCUUAGUAAUCACCAGAGAAUUCAUACUGGAGAGAAACCAUAUCGAUGUUUAGAAUGUGGGAUGUCUUUUGGCCAAAGUGCAGCUCUUAUACAACAUCAGAGGAUUCAUACAGGAGAAAAACCCUUUAAAUGUAAUACAUGUGGAAAAACUUUUAGACAAAGCUCAUCACUUAUUGCACAUCAAAGAAUUCAUACUGGAGAGAAACCCUAUGAAUGUAAUGCAUGUGGGAAACUCUUUAGCCAGAGGUCAUCCCUUACUAAUCAUUAUAAAAUUCACAUUGAAGAGGACUCCUUAAAAGCCGAUUUGCAUGUGUGAAAGCCUUAAACCAAAACUCAUCAGAGAAUACAUGCUUGAGAGUGAUUUAUUAAAUAUAAUGAAUAUGAGAAAACUCUUAGUUCUCAUCAGAUACUAAGUUUUAAGAAUAAACUUUAGCUAUGUAAUAACUUAUGGGAAAAGCUUUUAUACUUGUCACUCACUUUUUAAAAUAUCCCGAGACAGUUCACUGUUGCAGACAUUGAAAUUGGCCAUUUGUAAGAUAAAAGGUAUAAUACAAAUGGAGAGAUUUGCAUGGGAUGCAGAAAUAUGGAAGACUAACCAAGCAGACCAGGAGAGACCAGCAAUAGUGUCCCAGAGACCAUGAUGUCUGAGCCCAGUUUUGGAAGAAUAGCUGGGCAUGGUGGCUCACACCUGUAAUCCCAGCACUUUGGGAGGCCAAGACAAGAGGAUUGCUUGAGCCCAGGAAGGAGUUGGAGACCAGCCUGAGCAACAACAACAACAAAAUUAGCCAGGCAUAGUGGUGCACAUCUGUAGUCCCAGCUACUUGGGAGGCUGAGGUAAGAGAAUUGCUUGAGCUCAGGAGGUUGAGGCUGCAGUGAGCUGUGAUCCCACCACUGCACUCCAGCUUGGGGAAAGAGCAAGACUCUGCCUCCCCCACAUGCGCCCCCCCACCCCUGCCCCUGCCAGAAAAAUUGUUUGUGGAUCCCUGUUAUCAGAAUAAGGACAUUCCCUCAUAUUCCUAGUGUGAUGUGAGUUUUUAUCAUAAAAGGGAGUAGUAUUUUGUCAUGUCCAUUUUCUGCAUUGGUUGAAAUGAUCAUUUUGUUUUUCUCUUCAUUCUUUUAAUAGAUAAUUGUUUGAAUUUUGGUGUUAACCAAUGUUUCAUUCCUGAAAUAAAUUCUACUUGGUCAUGAU
RNAcentral lists this long non-coding RNA (2150 nucleotides) under Homo sapiens (human). RNAcentral's name for it is "long non-coding RNA NONHSAT203685.1". Lineage: Eukaryota; Metazoa; Chordata; Mammalia; Primates; Hominidae. The record is from RNAcentral.